This 381-nucleotide ribosomal RNA is filed under the name uncultured soil bacterium. RNAcentral's name for it is "bacterial SSU rRNA". It matches the Rfam family "Bacterial small subunit ribosomal RNA", at positions 26 to 409 of the family's 1533-position model. The record is from RNAcentral.
AGGACGAACGCUGGCGGCGUGCUUAACACAUGCAAGUCGAGCGGAAAGGCCCUUCGGGGUACUCGAGCGGCGAACGGGUGAGUAACACGUGAGUAAUCUGCCCAUCGCUUCAGGAUAGCCAUCGGAAACGGUGAUUAAUACUGGAUAUGACAUUCCUUCGCAUGUUGGGGUGUGGAAAGUUUUUUCGGCGGUGGAUGUGCUCGCGGCCUAUCAGCUUGUUGGUGGGGUAAUGGCCUACCAAGGCUUUGACGGGUAGCCGGCCUGAGAGGGUGACCGGCCACACUGGGACUGAGACACGGCCCAGACUCCUACGGGAGGCAGCAGUGGGGAAUAGUUGGACAAGUGGGCGGAAGCCUGAUCCAGCAACGCCGCGUGAGGGAU